CAAGGUCUCCGUUGGUGAACCAGCGGAGGGAUCAUUAAUGAGUUACUAAACUCCAAAACCCUUUGUGAACCUUACCGUCGUUUCCUCGGCGCGUGCUGCUGCUACCUGGAGCUACCCUGGAAGGCACCUACCCUGUAGUGGUUGUCUGCCAAGAGCUAUCAUGUCAGGCACCUACCUCUGUAGUGGUUGUCUGCCAUGAGCUGUCUUGGCAGGCACCUACCCUAUGGUGGUUGUCUGCUAAGAGUUAUCCUAGCAGGCACCUACCCUGUAGUAGUUGUCUACCCUGGAGCUACCCUGUAGCCGCGUGAAGGCCCGCCGAAGGACCGUUAAACUCUUGCUUCUACAACUGUAUCUCUGAACACGUAACUGAAAUAAGUUAAAACUUUCAACAACGGAUCUCUUGGUUCUGGCAUCGAUGAAGAACGCAGCGAAAUGCGAUAAGUAAUGUGAAUUGCAGAAUUCAGUGAAUCAUCGAAUCUUUGAACGCACAUUGCGCCCACUAGUAUUCUAGUGGGCAUGCCUAUUCGAGCGUCAUUUCAACCCUUAAGCCCUGUUGCUUAGUGUUGGGAGUCUACGGCUUCGGCGUAGUUCCUGAAAAUCAGUGGCGGAGUUAGGGUACACUCUCAGCGUAGUAAUAUCUCUCGCUCGUGUGGUGGCCCUGGCUGCUGGCCGUAAAACCCCCUAUUUUCUAGUGGUUGACCUCGGAUUAGGUAGGAAUACCCGCUGAACUUAAGCAUAUCAAUAAGCGGAGGAAAAGAAACCAACAGGGAUUGCCCUAGUAACGGCGAGUGAAGCGGCAACAGCUCAAAUUUGAAAUCUGGCCCUCGUGGUCCGAAUUGUAAUUUGUAGAGGAUGCUUUUGGUGCGGUGCCUUCCGAGUUCCCUGGAACGGGACGCCGGAGAGGGUGAGAGCCCCGUACGGUUGGACACCUAGCCUCUGUAUAGCUCCUUCAACGAGUCGAGUAGUUUGGGAAUGCUGCUCUAAAUGGGAGGUAAAUUUCUUCUAAAGCUAAAUACCGGCCAGAGACCGAUAGCGCACAAGUAGAGUGAUCGAAAGAUGAAAAGCACUUUGAAAAGAGGGUUAAAUAGCACGUGAAAUUGUUGAAAGGGAAGCGUUUGCGACCAGACCUUUUCCGGGCGGAUCAUCCGGCGUUCUCGCCGGUGCACUUCGUCCGGUUUAGGCCAGCAUCGGUUUCCUUAGGGGGAUAAAUGCUUGGGGAACGUAGCUCUUUAGGGAGUGUUAUAGCCCCUUGCGUAAUACCCUUCGGGGGACCGAGGACC
RNAcentral lists this ribosomal RNA (1280 nucleotides) under fungal endophyte. RNAcentral describes it as "eukaryotic LSU rRNA". The stretch from base 697 to 1280 matches the Rfam family "Eukaryotic large subunit ribosomal RNA", at positions 1 to 594 of the family's 3401-position model. Lineage: Eukaryota; Fungi. The record is from RNAcentral.